RNAcentral lists this ribosomal RNA (465 nucleotides) under uncultured bacterium. RNAcentral's name for it is "partial 16S ribosomal RNA". It matches the Rfam family "Bacterial small subunit ribosomal RNA", at positions 339 to 795 of the family's 1533-position model. The record is from RNAcentral.
CUACGGGACGCACCAGUAGGGAAUAUUGCGCAAUGGACGAAAGUCUGACGCAGCAAUACCGCGUGAGUGAGGAAGGUUUUCGGAUUGUAAAACUCUGUCAAAGUGGAAAAACUGCUUAAGGUCCAAUAGGCCUUAAGUUUGAUGGUACACUUAAAGGAAGCACCGGCUAGCUUCGUGCCAGCAGCCGCGGUAAUACGAAGGGUGCGAGCGUUGUUCGGAUUUAUUGGGCGUAAAGCGCGUGCAGGCGGAUUUAUAAGUCAGGUGUGAAAUCUCGGGGCUCAACCUCGAAACUGCGCCUGAAACUGUUUAUCUUGAAUAUUGGAGAGGGGAAUGGAAUUUCGCGUGUAGGAGUAAAAUCCGUAGAUAUGCGAAGGAACACCAGAGGCGAAGGCGGUUCCCUGGCCAAUUAUUGACGCUGAGACGCGAAAGCGUGGGUAGCGAACAGGAUUAGAUACCCCGGUAGUC